This 477-nucleotide ribosomal RNA is filed under the name Acrapex lukumbura. Its description in RNAcentral is "partial 16S ribosomal RNA". The record is from RNAcentral. Lineage: Eukaryota; Metazoa; Arthropoda; Insecta; Lepidoptera; Noctuidae.
GUCUUUUAGAAAAUAAUUUAAAGUCUAAUCUGCCCACUGAUUAUUAAUUGAAGGGCUGCAGUAUAUUGACUGUACAAAGGUAGCAUAAUCAUUAGUCAUUUAAUUGAUGACUUGUAUGAAAGAUUGGAUGAAAUAUUAGCUGUCUCUUAUUUAAGUAUAAAAUUUAAUUUUUUUAUUAAAAAGUUAAAAUAGUUUAAAAAGACGAGAAGACCCUAUAGAGUUUGAUUAAUAUAUUAAUUAAGAUUAUAUGUAAAAUAAGUUUAAAAUUAAAUUUAUUAAUUUUAUUGGGGUGAUAAAAAAAUAUAUUUAACUUUUUUUAAAAAUAAAACAUUUAUAAGUGGUUAAAUGAUCCAAUAAUAUUGAUUAUAAGAAUAAAUUACCUUAGGGAUAACAGCGUAAUUUUUUUUUUUAGUUCAAAUAAAAAAAAGAGUUUGCGACCUCGAUGUUGGAUUAAGAUAAAAUUUAAAUGCAGAAGUU